This 462-nucleotide long non-coding RNA is filed under the name Cavia porcellus (domestic guinea pig). RNAcentral describes it as "lncRNA (ENSCPOG00000033644.1)". The record is from RNAcentral. Lineage: Eukaryota; Metazoa; Chordata; Mammalia; Rodentia; Caviidae.
UUCUGCUGUGUCAUGCAAGAAGGAGGCGGCAGCGGCGGCCGGAGCUGGAGGGGGAGGAGGGGAGGAACCUGAUCCUCUGGUAGCGAAGGGCUGGAGGCAAACACCGACCUCCCCUAGAGCCGCCCGGGAGUAGGGAGGGCUCCGCUACCCCGAGGGGCCCUCCCCGCGGGGCAGAGGAAUUUAAUGUCCAGAUUCUGAACAGUGCCUUGAGGUCACCCAUGCCACCCUGCAGACUCUCCAGAGACUAUUGGACUCAUAAGCUAUUGGAUUCAUACCUGAAACCAUGGGGAUUGGAAUAAGGAAUUGCUCCAAGAGGAAUGGGUGUUUCAGAUACAUCAUUCUGUUACAGGUACAGAAAUUGUUUCCAGGAAACACUGCCAUCAUUAUCUCUGAAAGGCAAGUCAGUGGAAAUGGUUAUUUUCCAUUUACAGAUGGACAAAUGGGAGCUUUCUUUCUCAUUUA